UGGCACAACAGAACUGGGGAAAUCACAAGGCAUAGAGAACAUGAAGAUAUUGGGGGCAGUGGUGGAGGAGUGGGGUACACUGGCAGAUGAAGGUAAGUGCUGGGAACUGAGCCAGCGGGGUGCGUGUGUGAAAAACAGAGAAUGAGAAUGAAUUGAGGAUGAGUCAGGUACAUGCUUGCAUAUCUGCGUGAAUGAAAGAAAAAGGGUCUACCUGCCCGCUUUUGAUGUUGGCUUUGCCCAUUGCCAGUAUGCAGUUCCC
Molecule: non-coding RNA, 259 nt
Organism: Podarcis lilfordi (Lilford's wall lizard)
Lineage: Eukaryota; Metazoa; Chordata; Lepidosauria; Squamata; Lacertidae
Source: the annotation of a GenBank genome assembly